AACUGGCAGGCUAGAGUCUUGUAGAGGGGGGUAGAAUUUCAGGUGUAGCGGUGAAAUGCGUAGAGAUCUGAAGGAAUACCAGUGGCGAAGGCGGCCCCCUGGACAAAGACUGACGCCCAGAUGCGAAAGCGUGGGUAGCAAACAGGAUUAGAUACCCUGGUAGUCCACGCCGUAAACGCUGUCUACUUGGAGGUUGAGGUUUUAGACUUUGGCUUUCGGCGCUAACGCAUUAAGUAGACCGCCUGGGGAGUACGGCCGCAAGGUUAAAACUCAAAUGAAUUGACGGGGGCCCGCACAAGCGGUGGAGCAUGUGGUUUAAUUCGAUGCAACGCGAAGAACCUUACCUACUCUUGACAUCCAGCGAAGCCUUUAGAGAUAGAGGCGUGCCUUCGGGAGCGCUGAGACAGGUGCUGCAUGGCUGUCGUCAGCUCGUGUUGUGAAAUGUUGGGUUAAGUCCCGCAACGAGCGCAACCCUUAUCCUUGUUUGCCAGCACGUAAUGGUGGGAACUCCAGGGAGACUGCCGGUGAUAAACCGGAGGAAGGUGGGGACGACGUCAAGUCAUCAUGGCCCUUACGAGUAGGGCUACACACGUGCUACAAUGGCAGAUACAGAGGGCAGCGAGACAGCGAUGUUUAGCGAAUCCCUUAAAGUUUGUCGUAGUCCGGAUUGGAGUCUGCAACUCGACUCCAUGAAGUCGGAAUCGCUAGUAAUCGUGGAUCAGAAUGCCACGGUGAAUACGUUCCCGGGCCUUGUACACACCGCCCGU
Molecule: ribosomal RNA, 767 nt
Filed under: uncultured bacterium
Lineage: Bacteria
Description: bacterial SSU rRNA
Rfam family: Bacterial small subunit ribosomal RNA
Source: RNAcentral